CAGUAGCCGCGGGAAAACGAAGGGUGCAAGCGUUACUCGGAAUUACUGGGCGUAAAGCGUGCGUAGGUGGUGGUUUAAGUCCGUUGUGAAAGCCCUGGGCUCAACCUGGGAAUUGCAGUGGAUACUGGGUCACUAGAGUGUGGUAGAGGAUAGUGGAAUUUCCGGUGUAGCAGUGAAAUGCGUAGAGACCUGGAGGAAUACCGAUGGCGAAGGCAGCCAUCUGGCCUAAUACUGACGCUGAGGUACGAAAGCAUGGGGAGCAAACAGGAUUAGAUACCCCUGUAGUCCCUGUCUCUUAUAA
Molecule: ribosomal RNA, 301 nt
Filed under: uncultured bacterium
Lineage: Bacteria
Description: partial 16S ribosomal RNA
Rfam family: Bacterial small subunit ribosomal RNA
Source: RNAcentral